AUACCAAAUAAAUCUUUCACAAGUGUUCUGUAGAGGUUUCAACAGGCUUACAUAUUUCAAGGGAAGUGCAAUUGAUAUACCCAUAAAUUACUCAUAUUUAAUGAUGAAUAAUGAGUUUGUUUCUGCAAUAUUGGCAGAAAAAUAAUAUGAUUGUAAAUUGUUGCUUAUUUAGACACCAUGUUGUGACAUGUUUUAUCACAUGGAUAAGCACAGUCAAUCGCCUUCAUUCCUUCUCUAUCAAAA
RNAcentral lists this unclassified non-coding RNA (243 nucleotides) under Hevea brasiliensis (rubber tree). Lineage: Eukaryota; Viridiplantae; Streptophyta; Magnoliopsida; Malpighiales; Euphorbiaceae. The record is from RNAcentral.